CUUCAAGCCUCGCUUGGUGUUGGGUGUUGUCUCAGCUGCAAAUUUUUGUUUUUGUUUGUUCAGCAGACUCGCCUUGAAUUCAUUGGCAGCCGGCAAUUGGGUGUUGGAGCGCAGCAUAUUUCGCGUUCUCCGCCCCAGUCGUUGGUGUCCCAAAAAGCUCAUCUUCACGUUUGACCUCGGAUCAGGUAGGGAUACCCGCUGAACUUAAGCAUAUCAAUAAGCGGAGGA
RNAcentral lists this ribosomal RNA (228 nucleotides) under Entrophospora sp. JJ39. RNAcentral describes it as "partial 28S ribosomal RNA". The stretch from base 172 to 228 matches the Rfam family "Eukaryotic large subunit ribosomal RNA", at positions 1 to 57 of the family's 3401-position model. The record is from RNAcentral. Lineage: Eukaryota; Fungi; Glomeromycota; Glomeromycetes; Entrophosporales; Entrophosporaceae.